RNAcentral lists this transfer RNA (71 nucleotides) under Columba livia (rock pigeon). It matches the Rfam family "tRNA". From Rfam's summary of the family: Transfer RNA (tRNA) molecules are approximately 80 nucleotides in length. Their secondary structure includes four short double-helical elements and three loops (D, anti-codon, and T loops). The record is from Rfam by way of RNAcentral. Lineage: Eukaryota; Metazoa; Chordata; Aves; Columbiformes; Columbidae.
GGAGCUGUUGCUCAGGGGAGAGCAGUUGACUGCAGACCAAGAGGUCCCUGGCUCAGCUCCAGAUUGCUCUU